UUCAUUAUCACAUCAUUAUGACUAUGUUAAGUACUUCAUUAUAGUUUUUACUUAACUGAACUGCCAGGCAUAUGUAUGUGUGUGCCAAGGUGCACCUAUACAUAAGCAAUGGCUACCUGAAAUAAAUCAAAAUGCUUCUGGUUUUUUACAAUCCUUUUACUACCCAAAACAAUUAAUUCCUCAAGCAAGUAAUUCAGGAAAGGGUUCAGAAAAAAGGAACUUCGGUUUUAGGUAAACAGUGUAAAAUGCAGGGGUAUAGGCAGAAUAAUUAAUUUGUCAUUAUCAUCAUCAUUAUCCCCAUAUCAAAUUUUGUUCCAUAAAACAAGAGUCUAAAAAUUAGUUUAUAUUUGUUUAGACAGACCUUACAAACAACCAACUUUAUUUCAGACAUAUAUACAAUUUAAGAAAAAUACCCUAUGAAGAUAAUAUGGAGAAAACAUUAAAAAACCCAAUUCAAAGAAUUAAAAUAUUGUUAUAGCAAAGAAAAAAAGGUUGAAAGCACACAGAAAAGAAAACUAUCUAGCUCAAUCUUUUGACUUUUAUUUAGUUGGGCUUUAGAGCUUGUGGGAUAGAGAAUACUUCAAAUAUAGUAAUUCCCUUUAUCUGCUGUUUCACUUUCUAUGGUUUCAGGUACCAGUAGUCAACCAUGAUCCAGAAGCAGAUGAUCCUCCUUCUAAAAUACUGUCAAAAGGCCAACAGUACCCUAACACUGUAUCACAAUGCCUAUACAUCAUUCACCUUGCUUCAUCUCAUCACACAGCCAUUUUAUAAUCUCACACCAUCACAGGAAGACAAAGGAUAUUAUGUUCAUCAUAAUAGUACAAUCCAAGUACCAUCCAUCACUCCCAGGUGGAAGAGCUGCUGAAACUACCAGGAAGGCAAGCAGUAACCGGAGGCUGAGACUGACAAGAGUCCUGGGCUCUGCCAGGUUUCAGGACUAAGAACUGCCCGAAGACUUUCUUUUCUGGAGAAGAAGGAACCACGAUAGAAAGUCAUGGGGCAAGGAUGCCAACAUCAAGUUCCUGAGAAAAACUAGAUUUUCAGAAAGGAAGGAACUCACUCACAUGCCUAUUCCUGGUGUCCUUGACAAACCUCAGAUUGAGAAUGAUCAAAGGAAAAAAAUGAAACAAGACAGCACAAUUAUACAUCACCAAACCAUGCAGACAAGAACAAAAGCUUAGGAAAUAAUGAAGCCACAAGAUGAAGCUGGCCUAGUGAAUAACCUUUAUGGAACAAACUGAUACCAUUUUAAGCCAGCAGGACUUUGGCUUAUGAGAAAUAAACUUGCCUAUUUCUGCCAC
Long non-coding RNA from Acinonyx jubatus (cheetah), 1301 nucleotides. RefSeq lists it as uncharacterized. NCBI's taxonomy places the organism in Eukaryota, Metazoa, Chordata, Mammalia, Carnivora, Felidae. The transcript has 2 exons. The record is from RefSeq and is a predicted model, not a curated record.